CUAGUGUGUGUGUGUGUGUGUGUGUGUAAACAAUGAGUUAAUGACUCUGGGAAGCAUCUGGAGUCUCCUCUGGGAUCUUGUGUUACAGUAAGCCCAUGCACACACAGUUUCCCAAAAUUACAUAAACUAUGUAAUGAAUCAACAAUGCACUGAUGGGGGAGGGGGUCUCUCACAGUGUAAUCUACUAGUUGGACGCAUUGGACUCUUCACACCACCUGUAAAAGUAGGCAUAUUUCCACCUUUCGUUAAUCGUUAAGUAUUAUCAGCACUGAUGCUAAUCUUAAAACAGUUUUUUUUCCCCCCAGCAUGUCUAUGUAACAGAAAAGAAAUGUUUUGACAUCUUGUGGCCUCUACAGGCAAUUAUUAACCUUUUAAGGGCGGGUGUCAAUUAUACCCAAAUUUUAAGUAUUAUGGCUCGGUCCUUCGGAAACACUGCGCUGCUCACACGUCAUAUUUUUUUAAACCCGACGGUUUUUGUUGUGCCUCGAUGGAGGUCUACGCUCUACUGAAUGCUAUCCACUAAUUCCCACCGUCACCGAGUGGGACCGGAACGCACGCUGCCUGCAGAGAAGUCAGGCGAGUCAACCACUACAACCAUCAGUGACUCAGUCCGCAAUUUUCCUUGCUUCAUGUUUGUUUUGUGCCUUUUCAUCAACUGACUUUCCUCCUCCGAAGAAAUGGCUAAAAAUGGCUUUCAAGUUUUGGAGUUAUAAUGUCACCAAGAGAUUUGUUUGACUCACGCAGGUCAUCCAGCAGUGAGAGAUCUGAACUGAUCUCCGCCAGGCUCACGGUCGGGCUGAAGUCCUCCGAGUCUGAGUACUGCCUGACCUCUUCAACUUUGAGCCUUCUGCCGAGCCUGGGCGAGCCGUCUGGGACAACUGAGCGGAAAACAAAGCAUUGUAGACACCCAAAAAUUUGUGCAAGGGAUAUCUAAGGAUGUAUAUAGACUGUGUGGUUCAAGUGACACAAUUCAGAUUUCUUUCUCUCAAGUGGCACAAUUGGGAUAUGAGUCAUGGCACUCUAAAGAGAAAAAAAAACCACACACACAUAAUUGGAUAGCUUUAGAUGGGAAACAGGCCUGUGCCUGCUGUGCAGCUCAAUAAAUUACAAUAUUGUGGAAAACUCAAUUUAUUUCAGUAGUUCAAUUCAAAAAAGUCAAACUCAUAGAUUCACUGCACACAAACUAAAAUAUUUCCUGAUUUUGUUUUUGAUGAUUAUAACGUACAGCUAACAAAACAAAUUAUCCAUCAAGAAUUCAGAAUAUUACAUAAGAAAUAGAAAUUGGGCAGGAAUUGGCUUUCUGAAAAUCUUUUUCCAAUGUGUUUAAUGAAUCUGCACAGUACGAUUUUCACCUUUUGAAUUAAGCCACUGAAACAAAUUAAACUAUUUUAACUGUUCUACGAUAUUCUUAUGCACUUAUAAACACAUUAAAAUCACCUACUGUAAAUCGAAACUACAGCAAAAAGCAUACGCCAUUAUAUACAGUAUAAAUAAUAUGCUACAUAAGAUGUAUGUCCAUUAUUAAAUCAGGAACACAAUGUGAAGUAAUGUCAAAGUUACCCUUACUUAAAUCAGAGUCCAGGGUAAAAGCCACGCAACGUUUAAUAUUUGUAUUAUUUACAGUAUGUAUUGUUUAUUUCCGUAUUAUAUGUUGAUGUGUGCAGUUAUGUCCAAUAUGGCCGUCUGCACAUAUAGGUUGUUUCAUGUGUUUGUAAACAAAUGGAAAUUUAAAUAUGAGUCACUUGAAACGUACAGUCUAAAAAGAUUUGGGACACGGGUAUUAAAUGGGAAUUGGGCACUCGGGUCCCGCAGUGGAAAGCUCGGUCUUACUUUCUGGUAUCGCGGCUUGGAGCUUAUGCAGAUGCCUGACCUCGCCUUCCAAUUCGGACACAGUGGCGCUGUUAUGAGAUUGAGAAUUGCACGCCAGUGAAUCAGAGAGCAAACAUCCAGGACAUGCAAAAGUAGACACACGGUUACCUGAUGUGGCGGACCUCUUUUUGCGCAUACUCAAAGGCACUUUUGGCCAGAUCUGUACUGUGAGCUUUGUAGCUGUCAAUCAGCUCCUGGAGCAUCUGCUCGAAAAACAAGGAAAACGCAGCACUGAGAUAUGAAAUCCAUCCAUCCAUUUUCUGAGCCGCUUCUCCUCAACAGGGUCGCGGGCGUGCUGGAGCCUAUCCCAGCUGUCAUCGGGCAGGAGGCGGGGUACCCUGAACUGGUUGCCAGCCCAUCGCAGGGCACAUACAAACAAACAACCAUUCGCACUCACAGUCACACCUACAGGCAAUUUAGAGUCUCCAAUUAAUGCAUGUUUUUGUGAUGUGGGAGCAAACAAGAGCGCUGGGGAAAACUCUCUUUUUCUCUCUUUUUUCUUUUAUUUAUAGUAUAACUUUCAUAGGGACUGAGCCCUCAGCCAACAGCGCAAAAUCUUAAGUAAUUGACGCCCACCCUAAAUGUUUAGAAUUGCCUCAAAUGUAGCAUAAACUAUGACCCAAACAGUAAUAUUUCAGUCAUCUCACAUUACCCUUAAAAAUAAUAUAUGGUUUUCAGAUUAUUUUAUUUUGAAAAGAUGCUCAGAGGACUGUGGAAAAAUCAAAGGCAGGCUGACACCCUACUACAAACCUUAAUUUAAAAAACAAGUGUUAUAAAGUACAACGACACACCGGACGAGAAGGAAAAAAAAUGAAUGCACCUCAUGGCCGUGCUGGCACUGUCGCCGGCUCUCACGGGCCUCUUUCUCCUGGUGCAUCAUCGCUUCUUCUUGCCUCCCUUGUUCCACAGCACCAAUAAAAAAAAAUAACAACAAAAAAAACAAAUAAAAAAGACAGAGAGAUGAUGAUGUUUUGGGCAAGACCGUGCCUGCCUCUUUGCUUUGAAGCCCAACAAUGGGGCUCAGGACUUGUAUGGGCCUGCUGAUUCAGUGUGACUCACUCAGCCGAGUUUUCAGCUGGUCCACCUCUUUGCUCAGGUGUUCCAACUCCACUCGGCACACCUUGGAGCUCCAACUAGGGAAAGAGUGGAAUAUGUAUUGAGAAUUCUUACAAACUCUCUUGGGUGUAACUUUUUACCCACCUCUCCUUCGAAAAGAAUUGUACCAGUAAUGGAGAAAGAGGAACUUUUAAUAAUUGUGACAUGUUCAAUGGUUGAGACUGGAUGGAGGCUAAAUCCGCCCACUGGACGCCGGGACUGACUGGAAGAAGCUGCCGUGCACCAGGUGAUGGAGACCAAAUGGGAUGGCUGUCAAAAUCUGAAAUGGGAAUCUUCUCCCUGAAAGGGAAGAACUCUGAAGAGGAGGAGACGUAUUGUUGAAAGCUCACCACCAAUCAUGACUGCACUCUGCUAUUUCCCCCCUUAUCUUAUCUUUUUACGCAUAUACAGGAACUUUCACCCACCUUCUUCCCUUUUGCUUGAGUUCCCCAGUAAGGACAAUCGCCCCUGGGGACACAGAACAUGUCAAUAUUAAAAAGGCGAUUUCAGGGAUUUUACAUCUUCUCCAGGGUCAAAUUCAUGCAAUUUUAGGUGCGUGAUUUAUUUAGACUAAAUUGUCAAUUCAUUCAUCCACCAAUCCAUCCUCUAUACUGCUUAUCCUCACUAGCGUCGCGGGUGUGCUGAAGCCUAUCCCAACUGACUUUGGGCGAGAGGCGGGGUACACCCUGAACUGAUUGCCAGCCAAACACAGGGCACAUAUACACAAUCAUUCACACCUACAGAUAAUAUAGUCUUCAAUUAACCGACCAAGUAUGUUUUGGAAUGUGUGAGGAAACUGGAGUAACCGGAGAAAACCCACACAAGCACGGGGACAACAUGUCACCAAUUUAGAAUCAUGCCUUUUUUUUUUUUUUUAAUAAAUUGUAUUGUGCUACAAACAAUCAAAACAAUGUUCUGUCUGAAACUUCUGCUUGGAUUAAUAAAUGUACAGUAAU
Molecule: long non-coding RNA, 3920 nt
Organism: Phycodurus eques (leafy seadragon)
Lineage: Eukaryota; Metazoa; Chordata; Actinopteri; Syngnathiformes; Syngnathidae
Exons: 3
Source: RefSeq, a predicted model, not a curated record